GCAUUCAGCCAUAUCUGAUUCCACAUCCCAUCCUUUUUCUACUGUGGGACUAGGCUCUGUGCUGGGUGUCUGUUUUCUCCAACAGAGAUGGGGGAGGUGCUGCAGUAGCUUUGCUCUUGGCUCCCUCUAUGGAGCUACUCAGGAGCAUCAUCAAUUUACAUCUAUGUCUGCACUGGGAGAGCUGACAGCAUCUUAUGAAACUCUGUGAACCAAUUCUAUGGACUGGGGCGAUGGAAGAAACACAAAAAUAGGGAAUUCCAUCAGAGAGCUCCCAUGCUGUAUGACACCACGAAAUCAGAUUCAGACCUCUCAAUAGUGGGGAGGGUGUUACUUUUCAUCAUCUCGUGAAUAUAUGCUUUAUUCCAAGUAUGGCAAAAGUCAAUGCUGUAAGUGUUCACUCUCCUGUCUUCGUCAGACAUUAGGGUAUAUUGAUAAACACAGUAUUAGAAUCAUCUUAAUGGGUGAAAUUUUCUGAGCUCUGCAUAGGGUACUCUUUGGGUGUGUCGUAUUUUUUGCUGUUACUUAUAGUGUGGUCCAUGGACCAGCGGUAACAGCAUCUGUUAGAAAUGCAGAGUCUCAGAGCCUACCCCAGAACUUCUGAAUUACAAUCUGCAUUUUAUACAGGAUCCCUACAUGAUCUGUAUGUGAAUUAAAAUUUGGAAAGCACUGAUGUAACCAAUUAAGAAAGUGUAUGGAAUGCAUUAUAAAAGCCCCUUGGUUUUCA
Molecule: long non-coding RNA, 724 nt
Organism: Aethalodelphis obliquidens (Pacific white-sided dolphin)
Lineage: Eukaryota; Metazoa; Chordata; Mammalia; Artiodactyla; Delphinidae
Exons: 2
Source: RefSeq, a predicted model, not a curated record